UUUUUUUUUUUUUUGAGACAGAGUCUUGCUCUGUCGCCCAGGCUGGAGUGCCAUGGCGCAAUCUAGGCUCACUGCAAGCUCCGCCUCCUGGGUUCACGCCAUUCUGCUGCCUCAGCCUCCCCAGUAGCUAGGACUACAGGCUCCUGCCACCACGCCUGGCUAAUUUUUUUUUGUAGUUUUAAUAGAGACGGGGUUUCACUGUGUUAGCCAGGAUGGUCUCAAUCUCCUGACCUCGUGAUCCGCCCACCUUGGCCUCCCAAAGUGCUGGAAUUAUAGGUGUGAGCCACCGCACCAGGCCUUUUUUGGUUAAAUUUCAUGAGAAUUAGAGGUAAUGUGGCAUUGGAGGAGGAUGGCAUUGAUGUGUCGGGAACUAAUAAGAAACAGAGUAGAGACUGGUCUGGCUUCUUUCUUCAAAAAAUCCCAGGAAAAUAUACAGCACCAGAGCUUUUACUAAUGGGUAGGCCUGGUUCUACGAGACAAAAAACAUAAGUAUCACUCUUCUUCCUCUAUAAUAAUUUAGAACUGGUUCAUCCAGGUCCCAUUGGCAUCUCCUUGUCCUUUCUCACUGGCCAGUAUCAUAUCUGAGUUACCCCUAACCACAUGAAAAAACAUUUUGCUACCCUUCCCACCACAUUGAGUUGCAAGUGACUUCUGAGACUAUCUCAGGCUGUCUGAUUGGACACUCCACAGCAAUUUCUCUUGUUUGGCUGGACUUAAGGGAAUGCUGUGAGGCCAGCCCUCACCCUGGGGUGCACUUGGAAAGUGAGACAAAGUUAUUCUGAGAUUUCCAUCACCUCUACAUCACUAGUCCUGCAGUCUGCCUGUAGAUGGGGGACAAGGAGUAGAUCCUUUCUGACCAACAUCUAACUCUUGUGUUUUUCCUCUCUUUUCUUUUAACCCUUUAUUUAACAUGCUUUAUUUAGUCUCAGGGACAGUAAAAACAGGCUUAAGCUAAUCAUAUAUUCUUCUAGAUCAUCUUCCCUUAUGCCUUGUCCCUAGCUUUUUAUUUUCAAAAGUCAGUAAUUUAAGAAAUAAAAGCUAUCCAAAUUGAAAAAGAGGAAGUCAAAUUGUCUGUUUGCAGAUUACAUUGUCUUAUAUACAGAAAAACCUAAAGACUCCACCCAAAACUCUUAGAACUAAUAAAUUCAGUAAAGUUGCAGGAUACAAAAGUAAUAUAAAAAUCAGUAGCAUUUUUAUACAUAAUCAACAAACUAGCUGGAAAAGAAAUCAAGAAGUCAAUCACAUUUACAAUAGCUACAAAAAUACAUAGGAAUAAAUUUAAUCAAGGAUGUGAAAGACUUCUAUAAGAAAAACUGAAAAACACUGAUGAAAGAAAUGAAGAGGAUACAAACAAAUGGGAA
Molecule: long non-coding RNA, 1361 nt
Filed under: Macaca fascicularis (crab-eating macaque)
Lineage: Eukaryota; Metazoa; Chordata; Mammalia; Primates; Cercopithecidae
Description: lncRNA (ENSMFAG00000053771.1)
Source: RNAcentral